CAAAUACAUCCCUAAUUCCAGAGUACCUCAUGAACCAGGAAUUGGAACAUGAAGAAAAGAAAGGAAAAAAAUAGGAAAGCAAGAAGAGAAGAAAAAAGACCCUCAGCACUCCUGGAAGCACUUUGCAUGCCGGAGAACCUUCUGUGUAUGUGGUCAUUGAACAGCACAACUUGCCAAGUGAAUUCAUUUCACUUUUCCCUUACCUGACAGCCUCUCUCAUCUAAACACUCCCCACAGUUCCAAAUAGUGUUAUCCCUGACACAACAAACCACAAACUGUUAAUCAAGUAGACACUAUCUUGUGUUGACUGGGGACACAGGAUGAGGGAGGUGGAGAGGCGUUUCUGGGGACCUGGGGAGUUCCCCAUCAGAGUGGAAAUUUAGGAUUAAGGAUGGUGCCAUAUUAGUGCCCAGUGCCAGAUCCAGGAGCCUCAGUAUACUGGAUGAGUUUAAUGUGUCAUGGUGUGUGUACCUGUGAUAUAUGGAGCCCCUGACAGCAUGGACCAGCUCCAGCCCCUUACUGUCAGCAUUGCCAAUUCAGAGUUCCAUACACAGGGUCCGUUUGUCUGGAAAACUGUGAUGGGCUCUAACGACCUAGCAUUUAUCCAUGUCCAACUCCCAAAUUGCCAACCAUAAGGAGUAAUGAAGAGGCUGCAGGCCGGCUGUUUCUGUGACUCACUUUGAGCCACUGUCCCAUUCAGUCACUCCUUCAUUCUGCCCUUACUGUGUGGAGGUACCACUGUGGGCAGAGUGAGCAAGGCAGAUGGUUCUGUCCUCACAGAGCAGAGGGAGAAGACUAAAGGUACAUAUAAUCAAACCAGUAAGUAAGAGAGUUUAAUAGAAGAAUAAAUUUUAAGAAGACAACAAAGCAGAAAAUGGAUUGGGGUGGGGAACUUUGGCUAAGGGGGAGGAAGGUGACCUUUUGGCUGAACCCCGUUGCACCAUCGGAGGUAACUGUACACAUACUGGGUGGAUUAGCUGGCUGGAUUUCCUGAUAUUAGAGGGUUAAGCAGAAUCACUUCUCAAACUUCAACUUGAUGACCAUCUUUCUGAAGUAAUUUCAGGUGCAUUUUCUUAGCAAAGUGAAUAGUGUAACCAAUAUAAACUUCUUCAUACUUCUGGAUAUUCCAGCUGCUUGAUGGUUAGUGCACAAAAGAUAUAGAAUAUGUUGUGAUUAGGCCCAAAUUGGCCUGAAUCCAGAAUUUGUCCUACAAAAAGCAUUAUAUUAGCAGAAUUUUAUAUCAGCUAUUUUUCUACUUCUCUCUUUUUAAUACCAAUAAAGUAAUAAAAAAUUAAAAAUCCCUGAGACUUUGGUAAAAUAACAUUCUUCUAUAACUGAUUUUAAUAUGAAAGACUUGAUUAACCAGGUAAUUUUUUUGCCAUCUGGGGAUUGAAUGCAGGGUGAGUGCAACACAAGUGAUCUACCAAUGAGGUACAUUCCCAACCCUUUUUAUUUUACUUUGAAAUAAAUAAAAUAAAACAAGGUCUUGCUGAGUUGCUGAGGCUGGCCUUGAACUCACUAUCGUCCUACCUCAGCAGUUGAGAUUACAGACAUGAGCCACCAUGUUCAGUUUAACCAGGCAAGUUUUUAAAAAGCAAAAUUAGGUUAUGAACUCCCAUUUUUACCCCGGAUACAGAUUGCAGCAUCACAUCGGUUACACAUCCACUGUUUUACAUAUUGCUAUACUAGUGUCUGUUGUAUUCUGCUGCCUUUCCUAUCCUCUACUAUCCCCCAUCCCCUCCCCUCCCCUCCCCUCCCAUCUUCUUUCUCUACCCCAUCUACUGUAAUUCAUUUCUCCCCCUUGUUUUUUUUUCACUUGAAUCAAAGUGUGAAAUAUGAUUUGUCAAGAACUAUGUAAUGUUUUGAACAACCAACAAUAAAAAUUAAAGAAAAAAAAGCAAAAUUAGUAUAGAAUGUGAUUUUUGGAAAAUGUUUUUAAAAUUCCAGUCCUG
This 1952-nucleotide long non-coding RNA is filed under the name Marmota monax (woodchuck). The record is from RNAcentral. Lineage: Eukaryota; Metazoa; Chordata; Mammalia; Rodentia; Sciuridae.